RNAcentral lists this ribosomal RNA (254 nucleotides) under uncultured bacterium. RNAcentral describes it as "partial 16S ribosomal RNA". It matches the Rfam family "Bacterial small subunit ribosomal RNA", at positions 524 to 776 of the family's 1533-position model. The record is from RNAcentral.
CACGUAGGGGGCGAGCGUUGUUCGGAGUUACUGGGCGUAAAGCGCGUGUAGGCGGCCAUGCAAGUCGGAUGUGAAAGCCCCUCGGCUCAACCGGGGAAGUGCACUCGAAACUGCAAGGCUAGAGUCUCGGAGAGGAUCGUGGAAUUCUCGGUGUAGAGGUGAAAUUCGUAGAUAUCGAGAGGAACACCGGUGGCGAAGGCGGCGAUCUGGACGAUGACUGACGCUGAGACGCGAAAGCGUGGGGAGCAAACAGG